UACGGAGGGUGCAAGCGUUAUCCGGAUUCUCUGGGUUUAAAGGGUGCGUAGGCGGGCAGGUAAGUCCGUGGCGAAAUCUCUGAGCUUAACUCAGAAACUGCCAUGGAUACUAUUUGUCUUGAAUAUUGUGGAGGUAAGCGGAAUAUGUCAUGUAGCGGUGAAAUGCUUAGAUAUGACAUAGAACACCAAUUGCGAAGGCAGCUUACUACACAGUUAUUGACGCUGAGGCACGAAAGCGUGGGGAUCAAACAGG
Molecule: ribosomal RNA, 253 nt
Filed under: uncultured bacterium
Lineage: Bacteria
Description: partial 16S ribosomal RNA
Rfam family: Bacterial small subunit ribosomal RNA
Source: RNAcentral